RNAcentral lists this ribosomal RNA (637 nucleotides) under Nocardia sp. S9. RNAcentral's name for it is "bacterial SSU rRNA". It matches the Rfam family "Bacterial small subunit ribosomal RNA", at positions 180 to 831 of the family's 1533-position model. Lineage: Bacteria; Bacillati; Actinomycetota; Actinomycetes; Mycobacteriales; Nocardiaceae. The record is from RNAcentral.
UGCGCGGUGCAUGCCGUGUGGUGGAAAGAUUUAUCGGUGCAGGAUGGGCCCGCGGCCUAUCAGCUUGUUGGUGGGGUAAUGGCCUACCAAGGCGACGACGGGUAGCCGGCCUGAGAGGGCGACCGGCCACACUGGGACUGAGACACGGCCCAGACUCCUACGGGAGGCAGCAGUGGGGAAUAUUGCACAAUGGGCGCAAGCCUGAUGCAGCGACGCCGCGUGAGGGAUGACGGCCUUCGGGUUGUAAACCUCUUUCAGCAGGGACGAAGCGUGAGUGACGGUACCUGCAGAAGAAGCACCGGCCAACUACGUGCCAGCAGCCGCGGUAAUACGUAGGGUGCAAGCGUUGUCCGGAAUUACUGGGCGUAAAGAGCUCGUAGGCGGUUUGUCGCGUCGUCUGUGAAAACCAGCAGCUCAACUGUUGGCUUGCAGGCGAUACGGGCAGACUUGAGUAUUUCAGGGGAGACUGGAAUUCCUGGUGUAGCGGUGAAAUGCGCAGAUAUCAGGAGGAACACCGGUGGCGAAGGCGGGUCUCUGGGAAAUAACUGACGCUGAGGAGCGAAAGCGUGGGUAGCGAACAGGAUUAGAUACCCUGGUAGUCCACGCCGUAAACGGUGGGCGCUAGGUGUGGGUUUCC